This 401-nucleotide ribosomal RNA is filed under the name uncultured bacterium. Its description in RNAcentral is "bacterial SSU rRNA". It matches the Rfam family "Bacterial small subunit ribosomal RNA", at positions 356 to 774 of the family's 1533-position model. The record is from RNAcentral.
GGGGAAUAUUGGACAAUGGGCGAAAGCCUGAUCCAGCCAUGCCGCGUGAGUGAUGAAGGCCCUAGGGUUGUAAAGCUCUUUUGUGCGGGAAGAUAAUGACGGUACCGCAAGAAUAAGCCCCGGCUAACUUCGUGCCAGCAGCCGCGGUAAUACGAAGGGGGCUAGCGUUGCUCGGAAUCACUGGGCGUAAAGGGUGCGUAGGCGGGUUUCUAAGUCAGAGGUGAAAGCCUGGAGCUCAACUCCAGAACUGCCUUUGGUACUGGAAGUCUUGAGUUCGGGAGAGGUGAGUGGAACUGCGAGUGUAGAGGUGAAAUUCGUAGAUAUUCGCAAGAACACCAGUGGCGAAGGCGGCUCACUGGCCCGAUACUGACGCUGAGGCACGAAAGCGUGGGGAGCAAACA